Molecule: ribosomal RNA, 640 nt
Filed under: Bacillus licheniformis
Lineage: Bacteria; Bacillati; Bacillota; Bacilli; Caryophanales; Bacillaceae
Also listed under: 1 other name
Description: bacterial SSU rRNA
Rfam family: Bacterial small subunit ribosomal RNA
Source: RNAcentral
GGCGUGCUUAAUACAUGCAAGUCGAGCGGACCGACGGGAGCUUGCUCCCUUAGGUCAGCGGCGGACGGGUGAGUAACACGUGGGUAACCUGCCUGUAAGACUGGGAUAACUCCGGGAAACCGGGGCUAAUACCGGAUGCUUGAUUGAACCGCAUGGUUCAAUCAUAAAAGGUGGCUUUUAGCUACCACUUACAGAUGGACCCGCGGCGCAUUAGCUAGUUGGUGAGGUAACGGCUCACCAAGGCGACGAUGCGUAGCCGACCUGAGAGGGUGAUCGGCCACACUGGGACUGAGACACGGCCCAGACUCCUACGGGAGGCAGCAGUAGGGAAUCUUCCGCAAUGGACGAAAGUCUGACGGAGCAACGCCGCGUGAGUGAUGAAGGUUUUCGGAUCGUAAAACUCUGUUGUUAGGGAAGAACAAGUACCGUUCGAAUAGGGCGGUACCUUGACGGUACCUAACCAGAAAGCCACGGCUAACUACGUGCCAGCAGCCGCGGUAAUACGUAGGUGGCAAGCGUUGUCCGGAAUUAUUGGGCGUAAAGCGCGCGCAGGCGGUUUCUUAAGUCUGAUGUGAAAGCCCCCGGCUCAACCGGGGAGGGGCAUUGGAAACUGGGGAACGGGGAAACUUGAGUGCAAAAA